This 498-nucleotide ribosomal RNA is filed under the name uncultured bacterium. RNAcentral describes it as "bacterial SSU rRNA". It matches the Rfam family "Bacterial small subunit ribosomal RNA", at positions 38 to 518 of the family's 1533-position model. The record is from RNAcentral.
GGCGGCGUGCUUAACACAUGCAAGUCGAACGUCGAAAGGGACUUCGGUCCUGAGUAAAGUGGCGCACGGUGAGUAACGCGUGGAUAAUCUGCCCUUAUGAUCGGGAUAACAGUUGGAAACGGCUGCUAAUACCGGAUACGCUCAAAAUGAACUUUUUGAGGAAAGAUGGCCUCUGCUUGCAUGCUAUCACGUAAGGAUGAGUCCGCGUCCCAUUAGCUUGUUGGCGGGGUAACGGCCCACCAAGGCAACGAUGGGUAGCCGAUUUGAGAGGAUGAUCGGCCACACUGGAACUGAAACACGGUCCAGACUCCUACGGGAGGCAGCAGUGGGGAAUAUUGCGCAAUGGGCGAAAGCCUGACGCAGCGACGCCGCGUGAAGGGAUGAAGGUUUUCGGAUCGUAAACCUCUGUCAGAAGGGAAGAAACUACGUUGUGCUAAUCAGCAGCGUACUGACGGUACCUUCAAAGGAAGCACCGGCUAACUCCGUGCCAGCAGCGGC